AUAUUAUUGAACAAGAAGGGGACAGAGAAGUCGAGAGAGACGUACGCACGCAUGACAUAUGAGAUGAGACAGCAACAUUAAUUAAUUAUCCAGCUUAAUUAAUAACGCACGUAAUUAUAUUGAUGAUUAACUUUUAGAGAGAUAGACAGAUACAUACAUGCACUGAUUAUAUUGAUUAAAUUUAUAUGCCUGAGAGAAGAUAAUCAAACGUCAUAGGCUUAAAGACAUUAGAUGCCUGAGUCUCAAUCAAGUCCAACUGCUUCUCCGA
This 268-nucleotide long non-coding RNA is filed under the name Citrus sinensis (sweet orange). RNAcentral describes it as "long non-coding RNA (CSIN_LNC003693)". Lineage: Eukaryota; Viridiplantae; Streptophyta; Magnoliopsida; Sapindales; Rutaceae. The record is from RNAcentral.